This 370-nucleotide transfer-messenger RNA is filed under the name Rickettsiales bacterium. It matches the Rfam family "Alphaproteobacteria transfer-messenger RNA". Rfam says of the family: Bacterial tmRNA, also known as 10Sa RNA or SsrA, is named for its dual tRNA and mRNA-like properties. The record is from RNAcentral. Lineage: Bacteria; Pseudomonadati; Pseudomonadota; Alphaproteobacteria; Rickettsiales.
ACACUUGAUAAUUUCAUUUUAAUGAUUAUAUUAAUAGGGCUCUGGUCGCAAGGCCAAAGCUAUGGCGAUAAAUGUAAUCUAAAAUAGAUGGACAUGGACUCGGGGGCAGUACCCGACACCUCCACCAGCACUACUUACAUAUGGGGGUGACUUAACUUCGACAUGCAUAAUAAAAAGAUUGAUUUCGCUCAACUGAGAUACUGUUGGCUUUAGAGGCGCAAGCUUUUAAGGUAUCCGUUCAAAAACAAUAAAUGCAAACGAUAACUUUGCUAAUGAUAACUCUGAGUUUACUCUAGCUGCAGUAGCGGCUUAGUAUAAGUAGAGCUUAUCGGGGUUUGCCGGUUUUCCUGUCAACAGAAAAACCGGCAUU